Molecule: long non-coding RNA, 1841 nt
Organism: Pan troglodytes (chimpanzee)
Lineage: Eukaryota; Metazoa; Chordata; Mammalia; Primates; Hominidae
Exons: 3
Source: RefSeq, a predicted model, not a curated record
GUCGUGGGGCGCGCUCCUCGGGUGGGAGCAUGAAAGAGCGUCUUUGCCCCUCACUCCUCGGUUUCUCCUCCCUGGAAUGUCGCGGCCCCCCACCCCUCUCUAGGAGAGACGGCAGACAACAAAGGGGCCCGGGGUGGCGGCCAGAGGGACGAUGUGAGGGACGCCGCCGAGCCAGCGCCAGGGGAAGUUGGGGACGAAGGUGGGGGCUGGGAGGACGACAAACCAAAACAGCGACCUGGCUGAGAAGCCCCUUUGUCUGGGAGACAGCCGGGCGAAAGCCCAAAGCUGAGAGCAGCCCCGGGGUCUGACGCUUUCGUCACCCUGCAGCCGCACCCGGGCCUUUGGGUGGUGACAGCUGGGCCUGGGUUCGACGCCCGCGGGCGCAGGGAGACCGGCUCCCCUUUGCUGUGUGAAAGUUUAGUUCUUUGUAGCCAGCCGCCCUCGUUGAAGGCCCCACCGUCUUCCUGAGGAAGUUUCUAAGCAUCCCUUCACCCCUUGAGCGCAGUCACCCCCAGACUGUUGAAGUCCGCCAGGUUUACAUACCCUGGCGGGUCACGUGUAUAUAUAAUCCCCCCAACUUCGUGAAAGUAAGCCAUUUGAGUUCCUUUAAAAUGCAAACGUCAACUUCUGUUCAGAAGACUUUAAAAGAGGAGAAAUGCCACAGCAGUUAUGAGGACAAAUCAAGACUCAAGGAUUUGGCAGUUUAACUUUGGUAGAAAUAACUAAUGUUUACUGAGAGUUUAACCACAGCUUUAAUACUUUUGGUAUUUAAUCCUCACAAUAACCGUGUGAAAUAGAUACUUUUACACACCCUCCUUCAAGGAAGUUGAGUCACAGAAAAGGUAACUUGCCCAGGGGCACACAGCUGAUAAGUAGAUUGGAAUCCAAGUAAAUCUACAUUUAGAGCCGACCUUAUCACUAGGCCUUCAUCUCUCUCACACUUAACACCCAUUCCAGAAACUCCCGUCAGCUAUCAGUUAUACCACUGGGUUGAUGACUAGCUUAGAGUCUUGAAUAAGAAGGCAGCACAGAUAAAAAUACACCUGCCUUAGUAAUCAGUCUGUGGGCUUACGUUUGUCUCUCUGAAAAGGAGGCAGUGGAACUCAUCAAUGCAAUCCCUUCUUGCCUAGAAUCCUUUCACUGGUCGACUCAAUCCUAGUUUGGUGGAUUCUCAGCUGAAAUGGAAUAGAGGAGAAAAGGAAGAGUAAAAAAAACAGGACCUUCAUUCCCCCGGGGGAGUGUUCCAGUGGGAUUUGUAAUCAGAGAGCUGCUUAUUACAGUAUAUUAAUCCAAAAAUCCAGACCUAUUAAUAUUAUAUUAGAAAGAAACUAUUUUUUUUCCUUUUCUUCACUUUAGAAAAGUAGAGGAAGCGCACAGGUGGCUGAGCAUACAAACUGAAGAAAAAAUUGAAAUGCCAUUUUAAAAACUUGAAAGAUGCUGGGUUUUGGUCCACAGAUUACAAUACCAGUGUCCUAACUAAUGUCAGAGUUCUAGCCAGUGAAAAAUUAGAAAUGAGAGUCAUCUCUUCCCAUCAUGUCUGGGGUUACCACAUCUAACCUGGUUCUCUUGCCAAAGAACUUGCUCUCCAGGAUGGAUUACUCUGGAUAAACAUGAGAAACCUGCCAGCUUUGAGAUCCUGCGUUUGAGAGCCAGCAUUGGCUGGAUACACCAUGCAAGUGAUAGAGCAUUUGGACCAGGAAGAGAAUUUGGAAGUAAAGGGAAUUCAUGUAGCACAGUGUUCAGUUUUAAGAGCUUCAUCUAGGUGAAGACUCAUAAGUAAUAUACAUAUGGUAUAGCCAAGGUCUUUUAUGAAGGAAAAGUAACCACAGACAAAAAUUGUC